GUUGGAGUAAAAAGUUUUAUUAGAAUUAAUCUGGACUGAAAUGUGAAGGAACCCACUGCUUUAUUAGUCUGUUAAUAAAAGAAACUGAUUAUCUGUGUGCACUACUAUGAUGUAACAUGCAAACGGAGAUCAAAACUAUCAUGUGGACAAUAAGAAUAAGGUGAGGGUUAUCUGUAAUUUGGUGUACUUUUCCUUCCAUUAGUAGGUUAUAGAUAUUCAUUUCUGUGGUGCUGGUGCAGCCUCUGCAUGCUUUCGGCUACCGUGCUUCUAUUUAUCACAUUUUGUGCAACACAGACAAAUUGUGACCCUCCUAUGCGUCAGGGGGGAGUAUCCAACAAGUGGCAUUUUAACAGCAACAUUGACAACAAUUUCCAAAAUGUACAAUGUACAAAAUUACAAAUAAAUAUGCCUCUUUUUAAAAAAAUCCAUCCCUUCUAGUUUUACAGUAAAAUAGGCUCACAUAGCAUCGUUUAAACAUCAACCUUGGCACUUUCAUGGUCAAGAUCCCUAUCUAUUCCUUGACUUAAAGAGAAACAAUACAUGCAGAAAAAGAAAAAAAAAACAUCAUUAUACGUUGAGUUUGGUCUAAUAAGUUUGCAUCGGACGGAGGCAAGGAUGCUCUCUGCACACAAAGAGCUACUGUCUGAAGAACAAACGCUGCUCAGAAAGACGGUGCAGCCGACAAUUUUCAUUCCAGUUGUGGGGAAGCAGAGCUGGUGGUGCAGAGACUCUCAUGCCGUAGCCCUUCUCCAGCCUCGCUUCUGGCUUCGCUGUCCACUAAUGAUCCUGGAUUUUAUUUCACUGCUCAUUAAAAAAACAUCUUCGCAGCCAGUCUUGCCAUCUGACACCAGUCGGGAGAGACGAUGGUGUCCCCGGGAAUGAAAUUAAGACAGAUUCAAACUGACCUGUGCUCAUCAGACCUGAAAACAAAAGAGAGAGAAAAAUAUUCAGGCAUAAAUGACAGCAAUGUGUCGCAGUCGCAGCUUUGCAGUCAGCAUCAGACCUGACUACAUGUGGCCUGAGCUGGACUCAAACAUGUUUUUGCUAUAAAAACUGCAAAUCAAAUAAAACUCCUGUCGCCUUGUUCACCUUGUGGUGUGCUUUGAAAGGGGGUCAAAGGGCUUUAAUGAAGGCUGUUAAUGUGUGAAGUGUGCAGCUAC
Long non-coding RNA from Amphiprion ocellaris (clown anemonefish), 1160 nucleotides. The record is from Ensembl. NCBI's taxonomy places the organism in Eukaryota, Metazoa, Chordata, Actinopteri, Pomacentridae.